This 551-nucleotide ribosomal RNA is filed under the name uncultured Glomeromycotina. Its description in RNAcentral is "SSU rRNA". It matches the Rfam family "Eukaryotic small subunit ribosomal RNA", at positions 548 to 1098 of the family's 1831-position model. Lineage: Eukaryota; Fungi; Glomeromycota. The record is from RNAcentral.
UUGGAGGGCAAGUCUGGUGCCAGCAGCCGCGGUAAUUCCAGCUCCAAUAGCGUAUAUUAAAGUUGUUGCAGUUAAAAAGCUCGUAGUUGAACUUCGGGGUUUACCCAUUGGUCAGGCUUAAUUGUCUGUACUGGUGAGAUAAAUCUCUACCUUCUGAGGAACUUUCAUGCCAUUUAGUUGGUGUGAUAGGAAAUCAGGACUGUUACUUUGAAAAAAUUAGAGUGUUUAAAGCAGGCUAACGUCUGAAUACAUUAGCAUGGAAUAAUGAAAUAGGACGGAUUGGUUCUAUUUCGUUGGUUUCUAGGAUCACCGUAAUGAUUAAUAGGGAUAGUUGGGGGCAUUAGUAUUCAAUUGUCAGAGGUGAAAUUCUUGGAUUUAUUGAAGACUAACUAUUGCGAAAGCAUUUGCCAAGGAUGUUUUCAUUAAUCAAGAACGAAAGUUAGGGGAUCGAAGACGAUCAGAUACCGUCGUAGUCUUAACCAUAAACUAUGCCGACUAGGGAUCGGAUGAUGUUAAUUUUUUAAUGACUCAUUCGGCGCCUUACGGGAAAC